This 301-nucleotide ribosomal RNA is filed under the name uncultured bacterium. Its description in RNAcentral is "partial 16S ribosomal RNA". It matches the Rfam family "Bacterial small subunit ribosomal RNA", at positions 509 to 807 of the family's 1533-position model. The record is from RNAcentral.
CAGUCGCCACGGUAAUACGUAGGGUGCGAGCGUUAAUCGGAAUUACUGGGCAUAAAGCGUGCGCAGGCGGUUUUGUAAGACAGGCGUGAAAUCCCCGGGCUCAACCUGGGAAUGGCGCUUGUGACUGCAAAGCUAGAGUGCGGCAGAGGGGGAUGGAAUUCCGCGUGUAGCAGUGAAAUGCGUAGAUAUGCGGAGGAACACCGAUGGCGAAGGCAAUCCCCUGGGCCUGCACUGACGCUCAUGCACGAAAGCGUGGGGAGCAAACAGGAUUAGAUACCCCCGUAGUCCCUGUCUCUUAUAC